CGACUCAUGAAAGCUGAGAGAGGGUCAAGUCAGCCCUUGUUCCUCACAUGGUUUAUGCUGUGAGCAAGCCUUCUGCGUUCGAGGAGCUUGGAGAAGCUGCCAGGCUGUAGAUCAGAAGUGGGGCUGGCAGUUCUGGGGCCCUCUGGGCAGCAUCUCUGUGGGGUGAGUCUUCCGACUGCCUUGCUGGAGUCCCAUGGCUAUUCUAAAUCUGCAGUGUGCAAGGGAAAAAGAAGGAAGAAGAGAAGGAAAAGGAGGAAGAGGAGAACAAGAAAGCAUCCAGAGAGAAAGGGAUGAAGGAGGUGGUGGACGUGGUGGGGUCUGGAGCCAUCCAACUGCCUCUUGCCUGGAGAGUAGGACCCAGGACCGCCUGGGAAGACCCACAGGAGGAGGACACAUGUGUGCUCCCUUCCACGUCCGCAGCUCACGGUGCUUCUUUUAAAGCUGUCAACAAGAUCUGUCCUGGUUUUCCUUCAUGUUGGCACUGUCCUUUGAAGGUCUAAGAUGGUCCAUUAGUGUGGAAAUUGGAAAGAUACUAGGCUGGGAGCCGGCCACAAUGUACCUGGGGUGGAGAUGGAAAUCGAAAGGUGACAGAUCACCCAGAGGGAUGUGGCACCAUGCAGGGCCCUGCGGGCGCCUGGGCACAAGACCUCGUGCCCCUAUUUCUUUGAUUCUGGGAAGCAGCCUUCAUUCAGCCUCCAUGAUCUUUCCUGAGGUCCAAAAGUGAAGAGGAACUCAAAAGCCUCUGCAUGAAAGUGAAAGUGGAAAGUGAAAAAGUUGGCUUAAAGCUCAACAUUCAGAAAACGAAAAUCAUGGCAUCCGGUCCCAUCACUUCAUGGGAAACAGAUGGGGAAACAGUGGAAACAGUGUCAGACUUUAUUUUUGGGGGC
RNAcentral lists this long non-coding RNA (887 nucleotides) under Bos indicus x Bos taurus (hybrid cattle). RNAcentral describes it as "lncRNA (ENSBIXG00005003501.1)". Lineage: Eukaryota; Metazoa; Chordata; Mammalia; Artiodactyla; Bovidae. The record is from RNAcentral.